AGUGAACGCUGGCGGUAGGCCUAACACAUGCAAGUCGAACGGCAGCACAGUAAGAGCUUGCUCUUACGGGUGGCGAGUGGCGGACGGGUGAGGAAUACAUCGGAAUCUACUUUUUCGUGGGGGAUAACGUAGGGAAACUUACGCUAAUACCGCAUACGACCUACGGGUGAAAGCAGGGGAUCUUCGGACCUUGCGCGAUUGAAUGAGCCGAUGUCGGAUUAGCUAGUUGGCGGGGUAAAGGCCCACCAAGGCGACGAUCCGUAGCUGGUCUGAGAGGAUGAUCAGCCAAACUGGAACUGAGACACGGUCCAGACUCCUACGGGAGGAAGAAGUGGGGAAUAUUGGACAAUGGGCGCAAGCCUGAUCCAGCCAUACCGCGUGGGUGAAGAAGGCCUUCGGGUUGUAAAGCCCUUUUGUUGGGAAAGAAAAGCAGCAGGGUAAUAACCCGCUGUUCUGACGGUACCCAAAGAAUAAGCACCGGCUAACUUCGUG
RNAcentral lists this ribosomal RNA (492 nucleotides) under uncultured bacterium. RNAcentral's name for it is "partial 16S ribosomal RNA". It matches the Rfam family "Bacterial small subunit ribosomal RNA", at positions 29 to 507 of the family's 1533-position model. The record is from RNAcentral.